This is a non-coding RNA of Papio anubis (olive baboon), 68 nucleotides long. The record is from Rfam. Lineage: Eukaryota; Metazoa; Chordata; Mammalia; Primates; Cercopithecidae.
GGGCCAGUGGUGUAAUGGAUAACACGUCUGACUACAGAUCAGAAGACUCUAGAAAAGCCUUUGUCCCA